Molecule: microRNA precursor, 102 nt
Filed under: Dipodomys ordii (Ord's kangaroo rat)
Lineage: Eukaryota; Metazoa; Chordata; Mammalia; Rodentia; Heteromyidae
Description: miRNA (ENSDORG00000030175.1)
Source: RNAcentral
UGCAUGUGCAUGACUGCUUCUCACACAUGUGUGCAUGUGCAUGUGUGUUUCUCGCGGACAAUAUGGCUUCCAGACAGAACAUGCAACUGCCUGCCAGCCACA